Molecule: non-coding RNA, 3258 nt
Organism: Oryctolagus cuniculus (rabbit)
Lineage: Eukaryota; Metazoa; Chordata; Mammalia; Lagomorpha; Leporidae
Source: RefSeq, a predicted model, not a curated record
GGCCAUGCUGAAGAAGGACCAAGGAACUCCAUCAGGUCUCCCAUGUGGGUGGCAGGGGCCCAAGCACCUGGGCAUCCUCCAUGGUCUCCUAGAUACAUUGGCAGAGAGCUGGAUUGGAAGUGGAGCAGCCGGGACUCAAACCAGCACUCACAUGGGAUGCUGCUGUUGCAAGUGAUGGCUUUUCCUGCUGCACCACAAUGCUGGCUCCAGAAAUAUUAUCUUCAAAGUCCAUUUAUGUUGAAUGGGUAUAAAGAAACAGCAGACAUCGGCUUCCAUUUUGGCCGUAUUUUGGGCGUAGUGGUAAACAGAUCAAAUCUCAGGAGGGUCCUGCCUCAGUUUCUUCUCUGUUAUUCCCCUUUAGGCUGCUCUGGACCUGCCCAUCAUCCUGUGAGAUUAUAUCCUAAAGCAGUGGUUUUCAAAAUGUGGUCCCAGGACCAGUGGCUUCGGCAUUCCCAGGGAAGUUGUUAGAAAUACAAGCUCUGGGGUCCCAUCCCGUACCCAGUGAAUCAGCAACUCUGGUUCAGAGUCUGGUAUUCUUCACAAGCCCCCAGGAGAUUCUGCUACUGGAUUAAAGAACUUUCUCAAAUACAGGGACAAGAAGACAUUUUCAUUGGACAUUGUUUUCUUAAGAAGGUAACAUUCAAUCUACAUUUAAAAGGAGCUCCCAACUUUAAACUGUGGAAGUAAUUUAUCAACUCCCUCAUUUUCCUGGGAAGAAACCGGCUGAGCUUGGGGAAGGUGUGGAUAAGUCUACAGCUGCACAAGGAAGACUGCCAUUUGGAUGCUCCCUUUGCAACCUUUCCAGGCAUCUUCAGGAGAAUCGUAGUAGGAUAAGAUCCCCCCACAGAGAAGGAACCAGCGAGGCUGCCAGCCUGGAAACAGAAGCAAGAGCACUGUCACCACGACUGCUGGCACGGCAGGUGCCGCCCAGGCCCAGCUCCACGGAGCUUCAUAUCGCAAAGGAGAUUCUAAGAAAAAGCAGGUUAGAAAAGACUUGUUCAUCGGUUCUCAUUUCUGUGAAAGUAAAACAAACACCGUUGAGGUGUUUUUUUAGUCACGUGAAGCACAGAGUAAGUCGGGAUCAGCCGCAAGUAUAGUGAUGUUCUCUGGGCAACUGGAUUGACAGUUGAUUUUCAUUCUCCUUUUCCCCUAAUACAGUACUAGCCAUAUGUGAUUUCUAAUUUUUUCCAAUCAUUUGAUUAUUGCAUCCUGAAUGUUAUUAUUAUGACACACUCACCUUUCUCUCUUAUUAUGACACACUCACCUUUCUCUCACUUAUAAGUGCAGAAAUAAAGAUUACAAUUAAUGCUCAACAAACAUUAUGCAAAGUGCUGCUAAGUCUGCCUAGAGUCACAUGACCCUUAGGGAACGGUAACUUUGUUGAACUUAGCAGUCAGUAUUGAUCCACUGAAACAGUCAUCUUGAUACACUAAGGCUUCACGACAUUCACUUCAGUGUUGGAGAACUUCAGGGGAAAAACCACAGACAGCAGAAACAAACAUUUUAUCCAGUCCUCACAUACUUGACCUCAGACCAAGCUUAUUUUAUGUAUUUCUGCCUCUGGGCUUUUGUCCACACUGGCUCUUCUUCACGAAACGUCAUCCCUGACUGUGAAAGCCCUGUCAGUUCCCCCCAGUGUCUCUCAAAUGCCACAGCCUGCUGGGAUACAUUUCCGCCAGGGGAUUAUGCUAGGCUGAAGUAACCACAAAGAAGGUCACUGGGGGCCUUGGGCAGAGGCUGCUCAGGCACAGACAUCUGAUGGGCCCUUGGAAAAUGAGUCACACAAACCAACUGGGCAAGAUGUAGACUGAUGUCAAAUGGUAUAUAUUUCUAUUUACUACGUUACAUAUAGGAAACUACUGCAUUUUCCAGAGCACCCCGCGCCCAAGGAAACUACAUUUGGGAUCAGAAGGCUGAAUGGUCAGCACUAAAGCUAAGCAAAGGCGUUAGGUGGGCAGGUAAGGUUUCACUCAUUUAUUUUCUUAAGAUUCAUUUAUUUAUUUGAAAGGCAGAGUUACAGAGAGACAGAAGCAGAGGCAGAGGCAGAGGCAGAGGCAGAGAGAGAGAGGUCUUCCUUCCGCUUGUUCACUCCCCAGAUGACCACAACGGUCGGAGCUGUGCCAAUCCGAAGCCAGGAACCAGGAGCCAGGAGCCAGGAGCUUCUUUCAGGUCUCCCACAUGGGUGCAGGGGCCCAAGGACUUGGGCCAUCUUCUACUGCUUUCCCAGGCCACAGCAGAGAGCUGGAUCAGAAGUAGAGCAGCUGAGAUUCAAACCGGCACCCAUAUGGGAUGUCAGUACUGCAGGCGGCAGCUUUACCUGCUACGCCACAGUGCUGGGCCCCUCAUUUAUUUUCUUCACUUGAUUCGGUUCAGGCCUGCCAGGUACUGCCUUUCAUUUCUUUAAUCAAAACUGGAUAAACACUGAUUUUCAACAUUCACAUUCCAAUAAUAUCUGAACUAGAAUGUCCUGCCAAACACCUCUUCUUCAUCAAAGAUAACUAGUCCUUUUCAAAGCUAUGGUUUAUGUUCCUUGUGUUACAUUUUAUAUUGGUGACUUCCUUCCCAAGGUACUAGGCCCUUUAUUGGAUGUCAGGAGCCUUAUGGCCCUAACUUCACCCCAGCAUGAGUCAAUUCUUGGCUGGCAAACCCCUUGGAAUGAAGAUACAAAAUUCUAUUUCAGAAAGUGAUGCUUCCCAUGUAGGCUUCAAAUUCUAUAGAAACUCACAGCGAAGGCCACUGUUUUUUGCACACACGUUACAACUUGGGAAGCUCAACUGAUCAUCAGACUAUGUCUUGUUGAGUUAGCACUCCCAGAAUCAAACAUUAUUGAGGAUGUUUUAGCCAUUUGCAUCUGAUUAUACCUAUUACUGAAAUUGAAGAAAUCAGUUUCUGAGAAGUUGAGAAAUAGAAGAGGUCUUUGACAUCACUGAAGACCAACCAGCUCAUUUUACAGAGAAGGAAGCCAACCCCAGACUCACAGACAGAAAACAGCAGAGCUGGGAAGGAAACCAUGUCUUUUGAUGCUGCUUCUUCUGGCACAAAAUGUCCAAAAAUUUUGGCUCCUGUUCUCAGAAAGCCAUCUUGGUAUAGAACAAUAGCAUCUUUUCACUUAUAGCUCAAAUCUCAUGACUAUGGCUGGUGUAAAUACUCCCCAAAUCCAUCAUGAUUUUUAUGUAGAAGGCAUUUAAGUUAUCUUUAGUUACUGCAUUUCAUCAAAUUUAGGACACAUCUCUUUAAGUCAGCAUUCUCAAGAAUUAA